RNAcentral lists this long non-coding RNA (4623 nucleotides) under Vigna radiata. RNAcentral describes it as "long non-coding RNA (VRAD_LNC007803)". The record is from RNAcentral. Lineage: Eukaryota; Viridiplantae; Streptophyta; Magnoliopsida; Fabales; Fabaceae.
UCAGUUGGAUGAUACAGCACUCAAAAACACGUAAGCAUUAUUAUCUUCCAUCCUUCAUUGAAAAAGCCAUUGUCUUUUGUCGUUUCUAAUGAGCAAUAAUCCAGCAUUUGCAGGUGCAAGAUGAAGUUGUGUGGUCCUACAAUAAGAGAUUCUUAAUUGGAUAAGAGAUUUAGAUCCUUUUCAUCUAACAAACAAAACACACAACACACCUCACAAACCAAAACCAUGUGCUUUUUCUACUGCCUCUGGUUUUCCAUACAAACAAAACCAGUGUCUGUGUUUUCCACUGCCUAUAUCCCAUACUAUAUAUUAACAACAGCCUUCGCCCCAUUCAUUAUUCAUCUUCAACUCAUCAAUAUUCUCCAUAAACACAUCAAACUUUCUCACUACCUUGUUCUUACACACACACACACAGAAAAAAGGAGACUUUUAGCAUCGCUACUUUCAGUUGUUCAAGAGUCGAGAAUGAGUUCUACAAGUCGUGCUUGGACUUGGACCGUGGCAGCAAGUGUUGGAGUGGUGGAGGCCUUGAAGGACCAGGGCAUCUGCAGGUGGAACAGUGUUUUGAGAUCAGCACAGCAACAUGCUAAACAUAAUAUGAGAUCUUUGUCUCACACCAAGAAGCUUUCUUCUCAAUCAGCUGCCAUGGCUUCUGCGAAAUUCAAAGAUGAGAAAGCCAAGCAAUCAGAAGAGUCUUUGAGAACCGUCAUGUACUUGAGUUGCUGGGGUCCCAACUAAACAAAGAAUCAUGGGUUCUAUGCAAUUCUGGAUUUCCUUUCCCUUUUCUUCGAUCAUGAAGCGAAGGAAGAUAAAGAAAUGGAUCCAGAGUGUCAUCCAACAUGCUAUAUAUGCUUGCUUGAACUCAGCAUCUGUAUAGUAUGAAGCAUGCCAUUUAACUUGCUUCCUUGGAGAAAUGCGGAUUGAAUUUUGAAGACUGAAGCAAUGGCUUCUAAUUCGUGGCAAUAGCCUAAAUUCGGUGGAUCGAACCAUCAUUAAAUUAAAUGAGCACUUGUGACAGAACUAUGAAUGUAUAUAGAUUAAAGUGGGUCGAUUUUGCAAACUAAUAAUAAGAAAAAUGAAGUUGUUCUGCAACUAUUUACUAAGAUGCUUCUGUUUUUGUCAAAUUACUGUUGUUGUUUUAGUAUUUUGUUUCUCGUUAGUGUACAUAGUGGAAUUCUUCUGAGAACAGAAUCUAAAACUUGGUUUUUAGACCUUUCUGAACAAAAUCAUUUCUAGACACCUUAAUCAAGUCUACUUUACACACGGUGAAAGAAAGAUAAAAUAGAAAAAACGUAGGUAAUAUAGAAAAAAUAUAGGCUUAAUACCUCUAUUGGUCCUCUUAUUUGUUAACUAAUCUCAUUUUGGUCAUUCAGUUUGCAACAGUCUCAACACAUUCUAUUCCAUCCGUUAAGUGGUAGCAGACGGCGUUAAUUUGAGCUGACUUGUAUUUUUUUUUAUAUAUUUUAAAAUCAUUAAGUCCACGUGGAUUUUUUUCUUUUUCCGGUACCAGGGUUCUCCAUAUUCUUCAGCACCACCUCCUUCACCAAAAUUCUGGGUGGACCAUGACCCUCCUCACUCAUUUCCGAUUUCUCCAAAAUGAAUAUUCUCGAUCAAAUCCAAACCGAUGUGGACCCCUGUCCUUAUUUUAAUCAACCAAGAACCCUUCCAAACCCUAACGAAUUCUUUCUAUUAAUUUUCCUCCAGCAAUGCCAAAGAAGUAAUUUUGCACAGGUAUGACCACAAGAGUAAUUAAACCCAAACCCACAUAUAGAAGUGCCCAGAACCUAGAAUCUUUCCGCUGUUUUUUUGGAGGUUCAAAGAACAUAGUUAUUGCUGAGGAAAACAAGAAGCCAAAAAUAGGGAACACAAGACCAUGUAUUAUUGCAGCAACGGAUCCAAGCACUAAGACAGGAACUUCAGGCUUGUUUAAGUAGGCCAAACGUCUCAAAGAAACCUUUAUGGGCUUCUUAGCAUCAACUUUAUUUUUUUCAAAAUCCCCAUCUUCAUCUUCUACUUCUACAGAUUCAACAGAAAAGAAGAUUGAACCUCCUCACUUUCUGCCUCCGAGGAGAGUGGGGGGAGACCCUUCGGCUUUUAGGUGUGACAAUAGCAUUAUCUUGCAAGGGAGAGAUUCAAGCCACCCUUCCUGUCGUCGUCUUCUUCCAUGGUGGCGGCUUCACGUUCCUCUCCCCGGCCACGACCAAGUACGACGCUUUCUGCCACUCCCUGUGCUGCUCCAUCAACGCUGUCAUCAAACCUGCAGGGAAUCAGAGGACGCGAGUUUCUCUCCUUCCUCCGCCACCACAGCUACUUCUGCCGCCACCGCCAAACGAAGAGGGUUCAGGCGUGGGGAGGUCUUCGAGCCCAACCUCCGUCUUGGUCGGGUAAAGAUCCCAUCUUUUGACGUUGCAAUUUGGUCUAUUUGGUCUGGGUGUUGCUCAUUGAGAAGGGUCUGUGUGGAGUUGAACGGAAAAGAAAGAGAAAUAAGGUGAAAUGGGGUUUUGCUUUUGAGUUAAAGCUUGUUGCAAAGGGUUUUGGGGGGUUUGAAGGAGAAAAUUUGGUUGACUUGGUGAAGGGAUGAAGAGAUAUGUAAUGGGUAUCACCAGAGGAGAAAAAUUUUAAAUAUUUGGUGUUUUGUUGGACAGUGGUGGUUGUUGGUGAUGGCACCGGUAAAGCGGUGACAGGGGAGGACGCAAGGGUGACAGGGGAGGACGCAAGGGAGGGAGAGGGAGGGAGGAGAAGAUCUGGUUGUCGUCAGAUGUUUCUCAGUCAUGUGAGGUGGAACUAAGAUGGGAAACACGUCACUCAUUGAAUUUAAUCAUAAUAAUAAAAAUAAUUACAGCUCAACUCAAAUUAACGUCGUCUGUUACCACUUAACGGAUGGAAUACAAUGUAUUUGUAUUUUCAAAAAUUGUGACUAAAUUGAGACUGUUGCAAACUUGAGGACCAAAAUGAGAUUAGUUAACAAAUCAGAGGACCAAUAGAAGUAUUAAGCCAAAAAAUAUAUAUUUAAUGAUGAGUUGUUUAAAACAAGUAACUAUGCAUAUAAAUCUUUCUUAUCUCAUAAGUAGUUAUCUAUUUGUCCCAAAAUAGGAUAAGAUAUUAGUAUAUUAUUCUACUCACUUUUAAAUACAUACAAAAUUACACGAGUCAUUUUUCACUGGGACAAUCCUAGUUAUUUAAUGUUACUUUAAAAUUUUAAAAAAGUUGAAAAUAAAGAUAUAUAUUUGUGUAUUAUUCCUUUUAUUAUUAAUACCUAUUAUUUUCUCAAUGUAUAUAAAGAAAAAAUCAAUUUAAUUUAUUGAAAAUAGAAAUCUUUAGGAAAAAAGAAAAACAUUUAACCCUCUAAGCUUUAGUCUUUUAUGAAUUUAGGAAAUUAAUGAUGUGUUUCCUUCAAAUGAUUUACUGGUACUAUGAUUUGUAACCAUGAAUUUUCAAUGAAUUCUAUGUUUGCUUUUAUUGAUUUACGAGAUAGAUUUGCUUUUAUAAUUUCAAUUUUACUCUUAAUAUAUUAAUUGUAUUCGAUUUAAAUAGAUUCUUAACAUGAAUAUUAAUAAUAAUAAAUAAUAAUAAUAAUAUAUUAUUAUUGUUAUUAUUAUUAUUAACGUUAACUUUUUAUUUUUUAUAAAUACUUUUAUAAUUAAAUAUAAUAUUAACUUAACAUUUAUCAUUUUAUAUUAUUUUAAUAAUUAAGAUGUUUCGGUAAUCUUUAAUUUUUAUUAAUUAAACAAAUUUUUUUAUCUGUUACAUCAAUUGAAUCUUACAUUAAUUCUCACAAAUUUUAUUUCAAAUCUAUUCUAAAUUAUCCACAAAUCUAUUAAAAAAACAACAAAAAAAAUUACUUUCAAAUUUAUUCAAAUCAUCUCCCUCGAAUCAUAUUGUCCAAAUCACUACAAACCAACAAAGCAUAAAUGUUUUUUCCUUUUUUUCUUUCAGUAAUAUAGCUAUAAAAACUUCCAAAAACUCUUCUUUAACUGUAUAUGUCAUUUAGAACUCUGUAUUCUCCUGUGUAAACCAUUCAAAAUGAUUUCUUAUCAUAUUGAAUUUCAUUCAUCUUAUCCACAUGUAUUGGUAAAGUUAAUUGGUAUACUAUAUAUAUGUAUAGGUUUGGCUCCCUGGUUACACGUAAGAUUGACCUCAUUAAACAAUGUGCAGAAUUAAAGUUAUGCGGUCCUACAUGAACUAGAGUGAAGUCCUUGAUACAAAGUGUUGAUAGAUUCUUUCUUAAUUGGAUUAGAUCCUAUCUCCUAAGAAACAAAACACACGCAUCAAACCCCACAAACCAAAAACCAUGUGCCUAUUCCACUACCUCUGGUUUUGCAGACAAACUAAAACCACCGCCUGUAUUUUUCACAGCCUCUAUAUCUCACAAUAUAUUAACAACAACCUGCACCUCAUUCAUUCAUCUUCAGCUCGUUGAUAUUCUCCAUAAUCACAUUGAACAAGACACUUCAUAUACUACCUUCUUCUUACAGAAACGAUCAUUUUAUUGUAGUUUUUCAAGAGUCAAGAUGAGUUCUUCAAGCCGUGCUUGGACUUGGACCGUGGCAGCAAGUGUUGGAGUGGUGGAGGCCUUGAAGGACCAGGGCAUCUGCAGGUGGAACAGUGUUUUGAGAUCAGCNN